AUUGAACGCUGGCGGCAUGCCUUACACAUGCAAGUCGAACGGUAACAGGUCUUCGGAUGCUGACGAGUGGCGAACGGGUGAGUAAUACAUCGGAACGUGCCUAGUAGUGGGGGAUAACUACUCGAAAGAGUGGCUAAUACCGCAUGCGAUCUACGGAUGAAAGCCGGGGAUCGCAAGACCUUGUGCUACUAGAGCGGCCGAUGGCAGAUUAGGUAGUUGGUGGGAUAAAAGCUUACCAAGCCGACGAUCUGUAGCUGGUCGGAGAGGACGAUCAUCCACACUGGGACGCAGACACGGCCACGACUCCUACGGGAGGCAGGAUGGGGGAAUUUUGGACAAUCGACGAAAGUCUGGUCCAGCAAUGCCGCGUGCAGGAUGAAGGCCUUCCGGUUGUAAACUGCUUUUGUACGGAACGAAAAGCCCCGGGUUAAUACCCUGGGGUCAUGACGGUACCGUAAGGAUAAGCACCGGCUAACUACGUGCCAGCCGCCGCGGUAA
Molecule: ribosomal RNA, 498 nt
Filed under: uncultured bacterium
Lineage: Bacteria
Description: partial 16S ribosomal RNA
Rfam family: Bacterial small subunit ribosomal RNA
Source: RNAcentral